GUGGGGAAUUUUGGACAAUGGGCGCAAGCCUGAUCCAGCAAUGCCGCGUGCAGGAAGAAGGCCUUCGGGUUGUAAACUGCUUUUGUACGGAACGAAACGGUCCUGGUUAAUACCUGGGGCUAAUGACGGUACCGUAAGAAUAAGCACCGGCUAACUACGUGCCAGCAGCCGCGGUAAUACGUAGGGUGCGAGCGUUAAUCGGAAUUACUGGGCGUAAAGCGUGCGCAGGCGGUUUUGUAAGACAGGCGUGAAAUCCCCGGGCUUAACCUGGGAAUUGCGCUUGUGACUGCAAGGCUGGAGUGCGGCAGAGGGGGAUGGAAUUCCGCGUGUAGCAGUGAAAUGCGUAGAUAUGCGGAGGAACACCGAUGGCGAAGGCAAUCCCCAGGGCCUGCACUGACGCUCAUGCACGAAAGCGUGGGGAGCAAACAGGAUUAGAAACCCGUGUAGUCC
This 450-nucleotide ribosomal RNA is filed under the name uncultured bacterium. Its description in RNAcentral is "bacterial SSU rRNA". It matches the Rfam family "Bacterial small subunit ribosomal RNA", at positions 354 to 796 of the family's 1533-position model. The record is from RNAcentral.